Unclassified non-coding RNA from Callithrix jacchus (white-tufted-ear marmoset), 148 nucleotides. It matches the Rfam family "Metazoan signal recognition particle RNA". From Rfam's summary of the family: The signal recognition particle (SRP) is a universally conserved ribonucleoprotein. It is involved in the co-translational targeting of proteins to membranes. The record is from Ensembl. NCBI's taxonomy places the organism in Eukaryota, Metazoa, Chordata, Mammalia, Primates, Cebidae.
GCCUGGUGCAGUGGCUCACGCCUGUAAUCCCAGCUAUUUAGGAGGCAGAGGUGGGAGGAUUGCUUGAGCCCAGGAGUUUGAGGCUGCAGUGAGCUGUGAUCAUGCCACUGCACUCUAGCCUGGGCAUCAGAGUGAGAUCCUAUCUAUU